RNAcentral lists this transfer RNA (85 nucleotides) under Felis catus (domestic cat). It matches the Rfam family "tRNA". From Rfam's summary of the family: Transfer RNA (tRNA) molecules are approximately 80 nucleotides in length. Lineage: Eukaryota; Metazoa; Chordata; Mammalia; Carnivora; Felidae. The record is from Rfam by way of RNAcentral.
GCCUGGGUGGCUCAGUUGGUUAAGCUUCUGACUUCGGCCCAGAACAUGAUCUCGCGGUUUGUGAGUUCGAGCCCUGCCUCGGGCU